UCACUAAUAAGACUCAUAGAAAGGGCAUGCCACAAAAAAACUCUACCAUGGGGCCAUGCCACAAAGAAAGUCUACCAAGGGGGAUGCCCAAUCCCAACAAACGUGGCUGUGAUAAGCAAACUACUGGAUGGAGAUGCCCUACUACACUAAGGAAGUGGGAGUCUUCUUAGUAAGCCCUUGGAAAGGGUAUCCCUAAAAGAAUUGA
This 205-nucleotide long non-coding RNA is filed under the name Vitis vinifera (wine grape). Its description in RNAcentral is "long non-coding RNA (VVIN_LNC007336)". The record is from RNAcentral. Lineage: Eukaryota; Viridiplantae; Streptophyta; Magnoliopsida; Vitales; Vitaceae.